UGGGGAAUUUUGGACAAUGUGGGCAACCCUGAUCCAGCAAUGCCGCGUGUGUGAAGAAGGCCUUCGGGUUGUAAAGCACUUUUGUCCGGAAAGAAAACUUCGGGGCUAAUACCCCUGGAGGAUGACGGUACCGGAAGAAUAAGCACCGGCUAACUACGUGCCAGCAGCCGCGGUAAUACGUAGGGUGCGAGCGUUAAUCGGAAUUACUGGGCGUAAAGCGUGCGCAGGCGGUGCUGUAAGACCGAUGUGAAAUCCCCGGGCUUAACCUGGGAACUGCAUUGGUGACUGCAGCGCUGGAGUAUGGCAGAGGGGGGUGGAAUUCCACGUGUAGCAGUGAAAUGCGUAGAGAUGUGGAGGAACACCGAGGGCGAAGGCAGCCCCCUGGGCCAAUACUGACGCUCAUGCACGAAAGCGUGGGGAGCAAACAGG
Molecule: ribosomal RNA, 429 nt
Filed under: bacterium
Lineage: Bacteria
Description: partial 16S ribosomal RNA
Rfam family: Bacterial small subunit ribosomal RNA
Source: RNAcentral